RNAcentral lists this unclassified non-coding RNA (585 nucleotides) under Hevea brasiliensis (rubber tree). The record is from RNAcentral. Lineage: Eukaryota; Viridiplantae; Streptophyta; Magnoliopsida; Malpighiales; Euphorbiaceae.
UAAUUAAUUUGAUGUUGGAUGUUGUCUUAAUUUUCUUAUUUUUAUCUUAACGACUUCUUUAUUAAUUUUGAAUAUGCUGUAUUAUUCUCUAGUUUUAGCCUUAGUGUAAAUAACUUGUAUUAACAAUUUUGGACCUAGUGGUUUGUGUCUAAACAUUAUUUGGGACAGCCACAAGCGAACUAAAAUAUCAGUGUUCGGAACAUAGCAAAUGUAAGAGGCUGAGAUUGUAAUAUCCUGUCCCAUAACGGCAGGAAAUGGAUUUGUCAAAGGGUUUAUAUGCUGUAAGUCCCAACUAGUCAAAUAACUUGUGUCAACCAUUUUGGACUAAGUGGUUUGAGGCUAAAAGUUAUUUGGGUUAGUUGGGUCUGUGGUAUUAUGUUUGGACAUAUUAACUAUUGAGUAUUUUUGAAUUGAGAUUUAUUGGGAAGAGUGGUUGCUGCUCCCAUUGUCAACUAUUUUUCUUGAGUUAUUAUUAACAUGAAAAGAAACAAGAUCCAAUGAAUGUGUGAAAUCCAAAAUGAAUAGGUAACUGUAUCUGCUGUGGCUUUUUAAUAUCCAAAAACAUGUAAAUGAAGGAUUUAUUGG